This 446-nucleotide ribosomal RNA is filed under the name uncultured bacterium. RNAcentral describes it as "partial 16S ribosomal RNA". It matches the Rfam family "Bacterial small subunit ribosomal RNA", at positions 338 to 795 of the family's 1533-position model. The record is from RNAcentral.
CCUACGGGAGGCAGCAGUCGAGAAUCUUUCACAAUGGGGGAAACCCUGAUGGUGCGACGCCGCGUGGGGGAAUGAAGGUCUUCGGAUUGUAAACCCCUGUCAUGUGGGAGCAAAUAAAAAAGAUAGUACCACAAGAGGAAGAGACGGCUAACUCUGUGCCAACAGCCGCGGUAAUACAGAGGUCUCAAGCGUUGUUCGGAAUCACUGGGCGUAAAGGGUGCGUAGGCUGUUUCGUAAGUUGUGUGUGAAAGGCGCGGGCUCAACCCGCGAACGGCAAAUGAUACUGCGAGACUAGAGUAUUGGAGGGGGAAGCGGAAUUCUCGGUGUAGCAGUGAAAUGCGUAGAUAUCGAGAGGAACACUGGUGGCGAAGGCGGGUUCCUGGACAUUAACUGACGCUGAGGCACGAAGGCGAGGGGAGCGAAAGGGAUUAGAUACCCGGGUAGUC